Molecule: long non-coding RNA, 2313 nt
Organism: Dermacentor albipictus
Lineage: Eukaryota; Metazoa; Arthropoda; Arachnida; Ixodida; Ixodidae
Source: RefSeq, a predicted model, not a curated record
CGGAAGCGCCGAGCAGACGACGCGUCCCAUGAGCAUCUGCGAGUUUACGCCUCGCCUGUUGAUUUUUGUUUUUGUUUUGUAUACCUCGUGAAUCGUUCAGGAGUGUUUGGAGUCAGGCUUUUUCUGAAUACUGUUGACCGCAAUGCCAUCGUUUUGUGCGGCAUAUGGCUGCUCAAACAGCAGCCGCGACGAGCAUCACUUCCCCAAAGGUAAAAAGCUACACUCUAGAAAGCAGUUCGGUGGAUUGCGGCAGUAAAGAAAAAUAAUUUUAGGCCUACGAUCCACUACGUGAUCUGCUCAGACCACUUCCGCAACGACGAAUAUUACCGCAGUCUGUCGAUAAUGAGGUCAAUAGGAAUUCCCGUCAAGUGUGCCCGAAUGAUACAUGGCGCAGUCCCUUCAGUAUUCGCUCGCAGAAGGAAUCAGUCGCCGCCGCCGCCGAGAGCAGCUUUCGCCAAAAGAAAAACGAAGAUUCUAAAUGAGCUGUUGGGAACCAGCCAGAAAGGAUCACAUGAAGGAAGUGGUACCUCUGCCAAUGCUGCUGAGGAUUGUGGCUGCCUUAAUGCAGGGGACAUCGUCGAAGUUGUGUCGUCCCCUACUAGACUCAACCCUCUGGGAAACACUGCAGUAGUCUUGGAUACAGUCAGCUGAAAAGACCACUCAAGGACUGGUGCAUACAUGCAGGAAAUCUGCGCAACCAGGCCAGAAGAAAAGCACCACGUCAUGCUCUGUUCAAUCUCAACCACAUUGCACUUCGCUUGGAACACAUGCGCCCUUGUGGAAAGGGCUAGCACCAACCACCAGCGAGGCAGUCAAGUGCAGGAGGAGCACUUAAGAAAGCUAGUGCAAGCCUGUCGUACCUGCCUCUCACCAUGCAAGCAAGUGGACAUCCAGAGCAAUGGAACUGUGGUGUACAUUUACACAGAAUGCUAUGCUGGGCACCACUUCUUUUGGUAGAACCAGUGUUGAAACUACAGCUGUGUGCUGCAGUGCUGUUUUUGGGAAACAACUAGACUUCCUGUCUGACAAUGCUGGCCUCCCUUGGUGUCCAGGUGGUUAGUGAAAGGACCUUUUCCAUCCUUGAGAGCAGCUAUUUAUGGCCAGCAAUUGACACAAUAAGCAGGGUGCACAAGAAAUGGGCAAACUAUUUCUUUUUAAACAUGUAAAUGCGCAAAGUUUUGUGCUUGUAGCUUUGGACAGCUGAAGUACUUGAGGAAGCUCGUGGAAGACUAAGUCUAGCUGGGGAUGGACAAGCUGACUCCCCAGGUUACAGUGCCAAUUUUGGCAUGUACAUGCUGCUGGAUGUGGAGACCAAAAAUAUAGUCCAUUCUGAACUUGUGCAGGUAUCUCCGAGAAACUUCUUACCACAGCAAAGCACUCUGGCUGUACAGCACUCGACCUGUGGUGAAGUCCACAGAAAAUAAUCUGAACUGGUCAGCUGCUUCAAGUGUAGGCCACAAGGGGCUCCUUGUGCCAAAUUGGCUUUUUCUGCUGAGCCAGGUCAAGGAUAUUCAUGCUCAUGAAGGGAAGCACCGGGGAGGCAGGCUUUAUGUACGCUGCAACAGACACCAGGCGGACGGGGUUGAGCUGUCUUGCACGAGGGGAUGCUGUGGAACCGUUCAUGGAUGGUUCCUUGAAUGCAGAGGCCGCAUGCACCGCAGAGCGUCCGUGAUGCCAGUGACCGACGACAAGGAUGAUAAGAUCCGGGGGAUGCCGCCGCAUCCAGCCUGUGAAAUCUGCCAAGAAACAAAACUCCAAAUCCUUGAAAACACUGAAGGACAUAGCAAGAGCAAGGCCCCUGCUUGUUGACAUGCCACAGCUUUCAACAUCAUUUCAAACAUAUAGCGUGGAAGCAUUUCAUGGCCUGCUGCUCCACUUUGCUCCAAAGUUUUGCCAAUAUUCUUAUUAAGGAAUGAAGGCCAGAGAACUGGCUUUCAAGCUGAAGAUUUAUGCAUUCCAAGUGCACAGGACAUGUACAGUGAGUGAGUGAGUGAGAAAACUUUAUUUCGGAUCAGAACGAUUUGCGUCCAGCGAGUUAAAGGGCUGGAGCACCCGCCAAGGUUACGGCCAAGACUUCUUGCCUCUCGGCGGCUUCCUUGGCCCGCUGGACUGCCCAGAGUUGGUCUUCCAGGUUCGAGCUGAGUAGCAUGGCCUGCCAUCGCGUGCAGAGGCUGUCAAUGGAGGCUUCGCUCGCAUUGUCCUGCAUUAGCCCCUGGCAUUCCCAUAGCAUGUGUUCCAGUGUGGCUCUGGUGCCACACACUUUGCAUCUAUCUGUUGUGUAUAUGUCUGGAUAAAUAGCGUGCAUUAGUAUCA